This 253-nucleotide ribosomal RNA is filed under the name uncultured bacterium. RNAcentral's name for it is "partial 16S ribosomal RNA". It matches the Rfam family "Bacterial small subunit ribosomal RNA", at positions 524 to 776 of the family's 1533-position model. The record is from RNAcentral.
UACGUAGGGUGCAAGCAUUAAUCGGAUUUAUUGGGCGUAAAGGGCGCGUAGGCGGGCUUGUAAGUCAGAUGUGAAAUCCCGGGGCUCAACCCCGGAACAGCAUAUGAAACUGCAAGUCUAGAGGGUAGGCGGAGAAAACGGAAUUCCACAAGUAGCGGUGAAAUGCGUAGAUAUGUGGAAGAACACCGGUGGCGAAGGCGGUUUUCUAGCUUAUUCCUGACGCUAAAGCGCGAAAGCAAGGGGAUCAAACAGG